GGAAGGUAAAUUGGCCUCAGGGCCAAGCCUGUCUCGAAAACAGUGCGCGCCGCGAAGAGCGGCGUGGGGUGCGAGUCCUCUACCUUCCU
Molecule: transfer RNA, 89 nt
Filed under: Myxococcales bacterium
Lineage: Bacteria; Pseudomonadati; Myxococcota; Myxococcia; Myxococcales
Description: tRNA-OTHER
Source: RNAcentral